Long non-coding RNA from Pantherophis guttatus, 3036 nucleotides. RefSeq lists it as uncharacterized. Lineage: Eukaryota; Metazoa; Chordata; Lepidosauria; Squamata; Colubridae. The record is from RefSeq and is a predicted model, not a curated record.
ACAAAGCCCAUCAUCCCCACACCCCCGGGUGGCCUUCGUACAGGUGGUAGUCCUUGAUUUACAGCAGUUUGUUGUAAGGGGCCCGUUCAAAAUUACAAGGACACUGAAAGAGGUGACUUAAUAUGACCGUUUUUCACACUUUAACGACCGCCGCCUCAUUUCCCCACCACAACCAUGUGAUCAAAAUUCAAAUGCUGGGGAACUGACUCACAUUUAUGACGGCCCGCGGCCUCCCAGGGUCAUCUGAUCCCCUUUUGCGACCUUCUGAGGAGCAAAGUCAACGGGGAAGCGAGAUUAAUUUACCAACCGUGUGACGAACUUAAAAAUUGCAGUGAUUUGCUUAACAACUGUGGCAAGAGAGGUCAUAAAAUGGGGCAAAACUCACUUAACAAAUGUCUCGCUUAGCAACAGAAAUGCUGGGCUCGAUUGUGGUCGUCAGUGAAUGGUCACUAAAUGAACUUACCUGUAUAGACAACAUACUACAACUUGACAAGAACACAAUUGAGCCCCAAAUUUCCAGACACUUUUUCCGUGUUGUUGUGACAGUCACUAAAUGGAUGGUUGUGACCUGAGGACUACCUGCGCAGACACAUUACAGAAUAGAAUAGAAUAGAAUAGAAUAGAAUAGAAUAGAAUAGAAUAGAAUAGAAUUCUUUAUUGGCCAAGUGUGAUUGGACACACAAGGAAUUUGUCUUUGAUGCAUAUGCUCUCAGUGUACAUAAAAGAAAAGAUACAUUCGUCAAGAAUCAUAAGGUACAACGUUUAAUGAUAGUCAUAGGGUACAAAUAAGCAAUCAGGAAACGAUAUCAAUAUAAAUUGUAAGGAUACAAGCAACAAAGUUACAGUUAUACAGUCAUAAGUGGGAGGAGAUGGGUGAUGGGAACGAUGAGAAGAUUAAUAGUAGUGCAGACUUAGUGAAUAGUUUGACAGUGUUGAGGGAAUUAUUUGUUUAGCAGAGUGAUGGCAUUCGGGAAAAAACAGUUGAGAAUCAUCUAUCUCCCUUGGAGAUGCCAGGGCUGCCUUGUAUUUCCUUGCAUGCAGUGCUCCAGAUCUUAACAUCCUGUAGAUAUAUUUAGUCUCGUUUCCCACAGUGCCCCCUGCAGACAGACUGAGGAUUAUGGUACUUGAUGUCCACAGUUUAGGGAGAGGAUGGACUGCAACCAAAGGGAAGUUCGUGAUUUGCACUGAAUCCUGAUGGGACAAGAGGUCAAGACAUGAAGAUGGGGGCCUCAACUCUGCAACUGAAGCAGUGGUGGGUUUCUACUGGUUUGCCCCGGUUCAGGCGAACCACUAGUGGCGGCGGUGAGAGGCUCCGCCCAUUCGCCCGGAUAUCAUCACGGACACUGCGCAUGUGCAGAAGUGCCACAUGGGUGCACUCACAGUUUUGAACCGGUAGCGAAGGUAAGUGAAACCCACUACUGAACUGAAGCCCCCUCCCCUUUAAACACAUUACAGGUAGUCCUCGACUUAUGACCAUAAUGGAGCCCAACUCUUCCGUUGCUAAGCAAGACAGUUGUUAAGUGAGCUUUGAAUCUUUUUUUUUUUUUACAAAAUUUCUUGCCACAUUUGUUAAGUGAAUCACUGCAGUUGGAAAGUUAGUCGCACAUUUGUUAAGUGAAUUUGGCUUUCCCAUUGACUUUGCUUGUCAGAAGGUCGCAAAGGGUAUUGUGUGACCCCGGGACACUGCAGCUGUUAUAAAUACGAGUCAUCCAAACUUUUAUCACGUGAUCAAAGGGAAUGCUGCAACAGUCCUAAGUGUGAAAAACGGUCAUAAGUCACUUUUUUCAGUGCUGCUAUAACCGGUCACUAAAUGAAUGGCUGUAAAUUGAGGAUUACUUGUUCACUAAGUGAACUGCUGUGAGUUGAGGUUUAUUUAUUUAUUUAGCGUAUGGCUGGUCACACACAGCAUUGUGUGUUGAGGAUAACCUAUAGUUAAGGCAUCAGGCUAGAUGAGACUGAGUUCUAAUCCCUUCUCAAGUACAAAGUCAUAUAGGUGACCUUGGGCCAGCUACUUUUUCUCAGCCCCCAAAAGGAGGCAAUGGCAAACCACUUCUGAAAAAUCUUGCCAAGAAAACUGCAGGACUUCUCCAGGGACCCUCUAAGAAUUGACCACGAUUGAACAGAAAGGGAAAAAAAAGAGGCAACCUCCAAGUGUCAGAAGAGGCUUUUCUUUGAGCAGGGAUCCUUCUGUUCCUUUUCAACAAUCCAAACAGAUGCAGGAAGAUCCCGGCAAUUAAAACCUGCCUUUUUGCCGUUUGGCUGACAGAUGUGACUUUAAAGAGACGAGCCGUCUGAUGCUUUGAUUUGUGCUCCGGUUGGGUUAUCCCGUCUCAGGACGAGAGAAGGGCUUUUCAUCCAGUCCUCGACGUCCGACUACAAUUGAGCCCAAAAUUUUUGUUGCUAACCAAGACAGUUGUUAGUUGCCCUAUGGUACGACCUUUCUUGCCACUGUUGUUAAGUGAAUCACUGCAGUUGUAAACUCAGCCACACGGUUGUUAAGCGAAUCCAGUUUCCUCUUUGACUUUGCUUCUGGCCAAAGAUGAUUGCAUGACCCUGGGACACUGCAUCCGUCAUAAAUAUGCGUCAGUUCCCAAGCAUCUGAAUUUUGAUCGUGUGACCUUGGAGAUGCCACAACGUACAUUUGGAAAAAGGGUCAUGAGCCAUUUCUUUUUUCCCCCAUUGCUGUUGUACCUUUGAACCAUCACUAAACGUUGUAAGUCAAGGACUUCCUGUAUUUGCGGAUAUUUUUUUCCCCUCUGUUUGCAAUGCUUUGCACACACACACAAAAAAAAGCACCGGUGGAUUUUGCACGGCUCCCCUGAGAAAAACCAGCCUUUGUGUGAAUCCACCUCCCACCCCGCACCACCAACAAUCACGGGCCAUGAAAUUGUGUUGCCUGCCACACAAAGCGCCUGGCCGUGGCCCCUGGCCCCAUCCCCAGAGUCUCCAUGCAAAUUCGCGGGAAUCCCUUCCACCGCCCAGCCUGGCUUCUUAACCGAUGUUAACAUGUUGUUAUCUGCUCGGCAGGUGGGUUAG